CCCUUAGAUGUUCUGGGUCGCACACGCGCUACACUGAAGGAGGCAGCGUGUACUCCUGGAUCGAAAGAUUUGGGUAACCCGCGAAUCUCCUUCGUGCUAGGGAUUGAGGUUUGCAAUUAUCCUUCAUGAACGAGGAAUUCCCAGUAAGUGCAAGUCAUAAGCUUGCGCUGACUACGUCCCUGCCCUUUGUACACACCGCCCGUCGCUACUACCGAUUGAAUGAUCUAGUGAGGACUUCGGACUGGGACCGAUGCGGCUUUCGGGCUGCGUCGGUAUUCUGGAAAGAUGUCCAAACUGUAUCAUUUAGAGGAAGUAAAANUCGUANCA
RNAcentral lists this ribosomal RNA (327 nucleotides) under uncultured eukaryote. RNAcentral's name for it is "partial 18S ribosomal RNA". It matches the Rfam family "Eukaryotic small subunit ribosomal RNA", at positions 1470 to 1796 of the family's 1831-position model. The record is from RNAcentral.